RNAcentral lists this long non-coding RNA (1072 nucleotides) under Pogona vitticeps (central bearded dragon). RNAcentral's name for it is "lncRNA (ENSPVIG00000025119.1)". Lineage: Eukaryota; Metazoa; Chordata; Lepidosauria; Squamata; Agamidae. The record is from RNAcentral.
GGCCAAUGGUGGCGCGAGCUGUUCUGAGGGAAAAGGGAUUGAGGGCGAAUGUGGGCGAAAGGCGCGGCGGGGGGGGGAGGGGAGGAAGCGGAUUCCUGAGGGAAACGUGAUUCCUGCGAUAUAGCCUCUGUUCGUGAUAUUGAGGGCUUUUAAUUAUUUUAAUUUAUUUAAAUGGACGACGGCUUCUCCAAUGGCUUCAAGGGAAAGGGCUUCCUGACGUUCCUCCUGCCGUUACCUUUACGACAACCCUGUGAGGGAGGCCAGCCGUCGCCCACGGGUCGAGUCGGAGCUGUCUGUCUACGGGCUGUAAAAGGCUACAUGCAUGUCGUUGAAUCUUGGGAGUGAAAAAUAGGCCAAAAAAGGGAACACUUCAUUGCAGAAAAAAAAAAUGAAGAAGCGCAAAGGUGAACACUUGGUGGAAAAAAAAUGUGCAAAAAGGAACACUUCAUUGCAAAAAAAUGCGAAAAGUGAAAAGUUGUUGCAAAAAAUGGUGCUAAAAAGAACACUGCAUUAAAAAAAGAUUUAAAAACACUCCGUUGUAAAAAAAAAGUGGUUCAAAAAAGGAACACCUUGCGACAAGGAGAUGAUGCAAAAAGUGAAUAGUUUGUUGGGGGAAAUGGUGUAAAUAUGAACACUUCAUUGCCAAAGAAAUGCAAAAAGUGAACAUUGGUGCAAAAAAGGAGCAUUGAGUUGCAAAAUAUGUCACAAAAGUGAACACUUCAUUACACCUAUUUUCCAGAUAAGCUGGUCUUUGAAUUCUUGAAGAAGUAAUUAGGAGACCUGUCCCUACAGUGCUCAUGGAAACCUUCACAACAUUUCUUAAGGUUGCUGAGUUUGCCACUAAACAACUUACUGACAUAUUUCUCCUGGAGUGUGCAAUAGGAAAGAUGACUUCACAGGUUUUGAACUUUUCUGAGGCUGCACAUUCAAGCAUGAUUUUACAAUGUGAGUAUUUAAUGGCUGUGAAGGUGUGGUAGGGAGACGCGGAGUGGGGCAAUGGAAGCCUGUAUCUUUGGGAAAACUAUAUCUGAUGCUUAGGGGGUCUGAGAACGCUCAUGCAAACACUUAAGUG